ACGGGAGGCAGCAGUGAGGAAUAUUGGUCAAUGGGCGAGAGCCUGAACCAGCCAAGUAGCGUGCAGGAUGACGGCCCUAUGGGUUGUAAACUGCUUUUAACCGGGAAUAAUGUUACCUUCGUGAAGGUAAGUGCAUGUACCGGUUGAAUAAGGAUCGGCUAACUCCGUGCCAGCAGCCGCGGUAAUACGGAGGAUUCGAGCGUUAUCCGGAUUUAUUGGGUUUAAAGGGAGCGUAGGCGGGAAGUCAAGUCAGCUGUGAAAUGUAGACGCUCAACGUCUGCACCGCAGUUGAAACUGGUUUUCUUGAGUGCGUAAGAGGCAGGUGGAAUUUGUCGUGUAGCGGUGAAAUGCUUAGAUAUGACGAAGAACUCCGAUUGCGAAGGCAGCCUGCUGGGCCGCAACUGACGCUGAAGCUCGAAGGUGCGGGUAUCAAACAGGAUUAGAUACCCUGGUA
RNAcentral lists this ribosomal RNA (454 nucleotides) under uncultured Prevotellaceae bacterium. RNAcentral's name for it is "bacterial SSU rRNA". It matches the Rfam family "Bacterial small subunit ribosomal RNA", at positions 341 to 792 of the family's 1533-position model. The record is from RNAcentral. Lineage: Bacteria; Pseudomonadati; Bacteroidota; Bacteroidia; Bacteroidales; Prevotellaceae.